GUUAUAUGGUCAAGUGAAGAAGCGCAUACGGUGGAUGCCUUGGCAGUCAGAGGCGAUGAAAGACGUGGUAGCCUGCGAAAAGCUUCGGGGAGUCGGCAAACAGACUUUGAUCCGGAGAUGUCUGAAUGGGGGAACCCAGCCAUCAUAAGAUGGUUAUCUUACGCUGAAUACAUAGGCGUAAGAGGCGAACCAGGGGAACUGAAACAUCUAAGUACCCUGAGGAAAAGAAAUCAACCGAGAUUCCCUUAGUAGUGGCGAGCGAACGGGGACUAGCCCUUAAGUGGCUUUGAGAUUAGCGGAACGCUCUGGAAAGUGCGGCCAUAGUGGGUGAUAGCCCUGUACGCGAAAAUCUCUUAGUCAUGAAAUCGAGUAGGACGGAGCACGAGAAACUUUGUCUGAAUAUGGGGGGACCAUCCUCCAAGGCUAAAUACUACUGACUGACCGAUAGUGAACUAGUACCGUGAGGGAAAGGCGAAAAGAACCCCGGAGAGGGGAGUGAAAUAGAUCCUGAAACCGUAUGCGUACAAGCAGUGGGAGCAGACUUUGUUCUGUGACUGCGUACCUUUUGUAUAAUGGGUCAGCGACUUAUUUUCAGUGGCGAGCUUAACCGAAUAGGGGAGGCGUAGCGAAAGCGAGUCUUAAUAGGGCGUCUAGUCGCUGGGAAUAGACCCGAAACCGGGCGAUCUAUCCAUGGGCAGGUUGAAGGUUGGGUAACACUAACUGGAGGACCGAACCGACUACCGUUGAAAAGUUAGCGGAUGACCUGUGGAUCGGAGUGAAAGGCUAAUCAAGCUCGGAGAUAGCUGGUUCUCCUCGAAAGCUAUUUAGGUAGCGCCUCAUGUAUCACUGUAGGGGGUAGAGCACUGUUUCGGCUAGGGGGUCAUCCCGACUUACCAAACCGAUGCAAACUCCGAAUACCUACAAGUGCCGAGCAUGGGAGACACACGGCGGGUGCUAACGUCCGUCGUGAAAAGGGAAACAACCCAGACCGUCAGCUAAGGUCCCAAAGUUAUGGUUAAGUGGGAAACGAUGUGGGAAGGCUUAGACAGCUAGGAGGUUGGCUUAGAAGCAGCCACCCUUUAAAGAAAGCGUAAUAGCUCACUAGUCGAGUCGGCCUGCGCGGAAGAUGUAACGGGGCUCAAACCAUACACCGAAGCUACGGGUAUCACGUAAGUGAUGCGGUAGAGGAGCGUUCUGUAAGCCUGUGAAGGUGAGUUGAGAAGCUUGCUGGAGGUAUCAGAAGUGCGAAUGCUGACAUGAGUAACGACAAUGGGUGUGAAAAACACCCACGCCGAAAGACCAAGGUUUCCUGCGCAACGUUAAUCGACGCAGGGUUAGUCGGUCCCUAAGGCGAGGCUGAAAAGCGUAGUCGAUGGAAAACAGGUUAAUAUUCCUGUACUUCUGGUUAUUGCGAUGGAGGGACGGAGAAGGCUAGGCCAGCUUGGCGUUGGUUGUCCAAGUUUAAGGUGGUAGGCUGGAAUCUUAGGUAAAUCCGGGAUUCUAAGGCCGAGAGCUGAUGACGAGCUAACUUUUAGUUAGCGAAGUGGUUGAUGCCAUGCUUCCAAGAAAAGCUUCUAAGCUUCAGGUAACCAGGAACCGUACCCCAAACCGACACAGGUGGUUGGGUAGAGAAUACCAAGGCGCUUGAGAGAACUCGGGUGAAGGAACUAGGCAAAAUGGCACCGUAACUUCGGGAGAAGGUGCGCCGGUGAGGGUGAAGGACUUGCUCCGUAAGCUCAUGCCGGUCGAAGAUACCAGGCCGCUGCGACUGUUUAUUAAAAACACAGCACUCUGCAAACACGAAAGUGGACGUAUAGGGUGUGACGCCUGCCCGGUGCCGGAAGGUUAAUUGAUGGGGUUAGCUAACGCGAAGCUCUUGAUCGAAGCCCCGGUAAACGGCGGCCGUAACUAUAACGGUCCUAAGGUAGCGAAAUUCCUUGUCGGGUAAGUUCCGACCUGCACGAAUGGCGUAACGAUGGCGGCGCUGUCUCCACCCGAGACUCAGUGAAAUUGAAAUCGCUGUGAAGAUGCAGUGUAUCCGCGGCUAGACGGAAAGACCCCGUGAACCUUUACUAUAGCUUUGCACUGGACUUUGAAUUUGCUUGUGUAGGAUAGGUGGGAGGCUUUGAAGCGUGGACGCCAGUCUGCGUGGAGCCAACCUUGAAAUACCACCCUGGCAACUUUGAGGUUCUAACUCAGGUCCGUUAUCCGGAUCGAGGACAGUGUAUGGUGGGUAGUUUGACUGGGGCGGUCUCCUCCUAAAGAGUAACGGAGGAGUACGAAGGUGCGCUCAGACCGGUCGGAAAUCGGUCGUAGAGUAUAAAGGCAAAAGCGCGCUUGACUGCGAGACAGACACGUCGAGCAGGUACGAAAGUAGGUCUUAGUGAUCCGGUGGUUCUGUAUGGAAGGGCCAUCGCUCAACGGAUAAAAGGUACUCCGGGGAUAACAGGCUGAUACCGCCCAAGAGUUCAUAUCGACGGCGGUGUUUGGCACCUCGAUGUCGGCUCAUCACAUCCUGGGGCUGAAGCCGGUCCCAAGGGUAUGGCUGUUCGCCAUUUAAAGUGGUACGCGAGCUGGGUUUAGAACGUCGUGAGACAGUUCGGUCCCUAUCUGCCGUGGACGUUUGAGAUUUGAGAGGGGCUGCUCCUAGUACGAGAGGACCGGAGUGGACGAACCUCUGGUGUUCCGGUUGUCACGCCAGUGGCAUUGCCGGGUAGCUAUGUUCGGAAUAGAUAACCGCUGAAAGCAUCUAAGCGGGAAACUAGCCUCAAGAUGAGAUCUCACUGGAACCUUGAGUUCCCUGAAGGGCCGUCGAAGACUACGACGUUGAUAGGUUGGGUGUGUAAGCGCUGUGAGGCGUUGAGCUAACCAAUACUAAUUGCCCGUGAGGCUUGACCAUAUAACACCCAAGCAAUU
Molecule: ribosomal RNA, 2916 nt
Filed under: Pseudomonas sp. 2995-3
Lineage: Bacteria; Pseudomonadati; Pseudomonadota; Gammaproteobacteria; Pseudomonadales; Pseudomonadaceae
Also listed under: 1 other name
Description: bacterial LSU rRNA
Rfam family: Bacterial large subunit ribosomal RNA
Source: RNAcentral